UGCUCGAUGGCUGAGUUUAUAAGCGGUAGACUGUAGAUCUACAUACGGAAGAAAAUUUUCUCGGGCAA
Molecule: transfer RNA, 68 nt
Filed under: Ifremeria nautilei
Lineage: Eukaryota; Metazoa; Mollusca; Gastropoda; Provannidae
Description: tRNA-Tyr
Rfam family: tRNA
About the family: Transfer RNA (tRNA) molecules are approximately 80 nucleotides in length. Their secondary structure includes four short double-helical elements and three loops (D, anti-codon, and T loops). Further hydrogen bonds mediate the characteristic L-shaped molecular structure. tRNAs have two regions of fundamental functional importance: the anti-codon, which is responsible for specific mRNA codon recognition, and the 3' end, to which the tRNAs corresponding amino acid is attached (by aminoacyl-tRNA synthetases). tRNAs cope with the degeneracy of the genetic code in two manners: having more than one tRNA (with a specific anti-codon) for a particular amino acid; and 'wobble' base-pairing, i.e. permitting non-standard base-pairing at the 3rd anti-codon position.
Source: RNAcentral